GACGAACGCUGGCGGCGUGCUUAACACAUGCAAGUCGAACGGAAAGGCCCGGCUUUUGUUGGUUUCUCGAUUGGCGAACGGGUGAGUAACACGUGAGUAACCUGCCCUUGACUUUGUGAUAACUUCACGGAACUGGGGCUAAUACCGCGUAGGAGCUCCUGCUGCAUGGUGGGGGUUGGUAAAUUUCGGCGGUUGGGGAUGGACUCGCGGCUUAUCAGCUUGUUGGUGGGGUAGUGGCUUACCAAGGCUUUGACGGGUAGCCGGCCUGAGAGGGUGACCGGCCACAUUGGGACUGAGAUACGGCCCAGACUCCUACGGGAGGCAGCAGUGGGGAAUAUUGCACAAUGGGCGGAAGCCUGAUGCAGCAACGCCGCGUGCGGGAUGACGGCUUUCGGGUUGAAAACCGCUGUCGCCUGUGACGAAGCGUGAGUGACGGUAAUGGGUAAAGAAGCACCGGCUAACUACGUG
Molecule: ribosomal RNA, 468 nt
Filed under: uncultured bacterium
Lineage: Bacteria
Description: partial 16S ribosomal RNA
Rfam family: Bacterial small subunit ribosomal RNA
Source: RNAcentral